AUUAACCACUCUGGAGAGCGUGCUUGCACCACCGAAGGGAACAAGUGGGUGAUUUGAUUUGACAACUGACAAAUCACCUGACGAAAAUCUCAGGUAACAGGACAGAUGGGGUGUU
This 115-nucleotide non-coding RNA is filed under the name Moraxella nonliquefaciens. RNAcentral describes it as "Glycine sequence". It matches the Rfam family "Glycine riboswitch aptamer". From Rfam's summary of the family: This family represents the bacterial glycine riboswitch. Glycine riboswitches usually consist of two metabolite-binding aptamers domains with similar structures in tandem. Lineage: Bacteria; Pseudomonadati; Pseudomonadota; Gammaproteobacteria; Moraxellales; Moraxellaceae. The record is from Rfam by way of RNAcentral.